ACGGUACUGUGUGUACGACUGAUUUAGUGAGACACAAAUAAGACAGAAGUGCUAAUGAACGGUAUAUUACUACAGCUUUCACUACUGUUGAUGCACCGAGCAGCCUUGUUGGAUUUUGAGGUCUGUGUAAUGUGUAGGGGAUGGAA
This is a long non-coding RNA of Sander lucioperca (pikeperch), 146 nucleotides long. RefSeq lists it as uncharacterized. The record is from RefSeq and is a predicted model, not a curated record. The transcript is spliced from 4 exons. Lineage: Eukaryota; Metazoa; Chordata; Actinopteri; Perciformes; Percidae.